UGGGGAAUUUUGGACAAUGGGGGCAACCCUGAUCCAGCCAUGCCGCGUGCGGGAAGAAGGCCUUCGGGUUGUAAACCGCUUUUGUCAGGGAAGAAAUCCUUUGGGCUAAUAACUCGGAGGGAUGACGGUACCUGAAGAAUAAGCACCGGCUAACUACGUGCCAGCAGCCGCGGUAAUACGUAGGGUGCAAGCGUUAAUCGGAAUUACUGGGCGUAAAGCGUGCGCAGGCGGUUAUGCAAGACAGAUGUGAAAUCCCCGGGCUCAACCUGGGAACUGCAUUUGUGACUGCAUGGCUAGAGUACGGUAGAGGGGGAUGGAAUUCCGCGUGUAGCAGUGAAAUGCGUAGAUAUGCGGAGGAACACCGAUGGCGAAGGCAAUCCCCUGGACCUGUACUGACGCUCAUGCACGAAAGCGUGGGGAGCAAACAGGAUUAGAUACCCAAGUAGUCCCUGAGCGGGCUGGCAAGGCGCAU
This 472-nucleotide ribosomal RNA is filed under the name uncultured bacterium. Its description in RNAcentral is "bacterial SSU rRNA". It matches the Rfam family "Bacterial small subunit ribosomal RNA", at positions 355 to 825 of the family's 1533-position model. The record is from RNAcentral.